Molecule: transfer RNA, 70 nt
Filed under: Marmota monax (woodchuck)
Lineage: Eukaryota; Metazoa; Chordata; Mammalia; Rodentia; Sciuridae
Description: tRNA.Thr
Source: RNAcentral
GGUAAUAACUCAGUGGUAGAGCACUUGCAUAGUAUAUGCAAGGCCCUGGGUUUGAUCCCCAGCACUACCA